GAUGAAGAACGUAGUGAAAUGCGAUAAGUAAUGUGAAUUGCACAAUUCAGUGAAUCAUCGAAUCUUUGAACGCACAUUGCGCCCAUUAGUAUUCUAGUGGGCAUGCCUGUUCGAGCGUCAUUAAUUCCACUUAAGCCCUGCUUAGUGUUGGGAAUCUACUCUAGUGGUGCUACCCUGGAGCUACCCCUGAAAGGGGGCUGGCCCGGUAGCUACCCUGUAGUUCCUCAAAGAUAGUGCGCGGAGUUGCGUGGUCCUCUGAGCUUAGUAACUAUACACCUAGCUUUUGAGUGUCCCGCGGCGCCUGCCGUUUAAACCCCAUCUUUUAAUGGUUGACCUCGGAUCAGGUAGGAAUACCCGCUGAACUUAAGCAUAUCAAUAAGCGGAGGA
RNAcentral lists this unclassified non-coding RNA (387 nucleotides) under soil metagenome. Its description in RNAcentral is "partial contains 5.8S ribosomal RNA, internal transcribed spacer 2, and large subunit ribosomal RNA". The stretch from base 1 to 120 matches the Rfam family "5.8S ribosomal RNA", at positions 35 to 154 of the family's 154-position model. The record is from RNAcentral.